This is a long non-coding RNA of Felis catus (domestic cat), 22847 nucleotides long. RefSeq lists it as uncharacterized. Lineage: Eukaryota; Metazoa; Chordata; Mammalia; Carnivora; Felidae. The transcript has 2 exons. The record is from RefSeq and is a predicted model, not a curated record.
UUAGAUGAAAGUGUUUACGGUGUGUCUGGAGCUGGAGUAAGUUCCUGCGGGUGCCCAAGAGCAGGGGCCUCCUCUCUCCUCUCAUUAAUUUGCUGAUGCCUGCACUGAUGCAGCGGUGAGAUACUGGGGAGAGAGCCACUCAGAGGCCUCCAAAGGAGGCUUCUCGUCUUCAGUCUUCCUCGUUCAGCUGCCCCACAUGUCCUCACUCCAAGGAGAGAUGGGGCCCAAUGAAGUGGUCACCUAAUCCCAGGGUGUCCAGUCCAUGUGGCCAAAGUAGGCCCUGAGCCUCAGACUUGGCCUCCCUGCACGACUUCAGGGUCAGCUGGGCCCAACAGUGACAUCCUAGGGUAGGCCGAUGUUCUUCAAUUUUUUUUGACCCCAAAACCAUGGAAAAAAAUUAACUUUUCACCCCCACCCAAUACAGAUAUUUUUAUACAAUCUAGAUUGAGAUAUAGGCACAGAUAGAUGUACCUAUAAUCAGAAAAAAACAAAAACAAAAAAACCCACUUACCUUUUCUGUAAACGAUACACUGAGGCUUUUUUUUUUUUAAUCUCGUUGUUUUAAAGUGCUGGCUGUAAACCACUAAACUGAUUUCACAACCCACUAACGGUUUGUGACCCACGGUGUGAAAAACACUAUUGUAAGAUAGGUGAUGUGCCUUAUUCAGCUUGCCCCCGACAGCCUUUUUUAUUCUCAAGGGGUACCAAGGAAAGUUCCAAAUCUGAACUGAUCUGAGAGCCGCCCCAUCCCCCACCCCUCUGCCCCCAGGGAGGCGGAGGGAGCUGGAUGCCCAGCAAAGUCUCAGGGAGGCCAGGCCAGGCGUGGGCAGGACCAGCCUGCAUCCCUCUCCAUGUCUGUCUUCCCUGAACCCCUGCACCCCUCUCUCCAUGACGUUUAUGAGUUGUUGAGGUGAAUGGCUGCUGAGCCCCGGUGGGAGGGGAAGGGGCAGGGAGAGGUGGGCAGGAGGCAGAGAAAGAAAAGGCACCACCCUAUCGCCGGGAUGACGCCUGUCGGCACCACAUCCUGGGCACCGGCCUUUGCCCCCCUCCCUUUCUCCCGCCAGGCAGAGGACCCCCAUCUUUCAGAUCCCAACCCCUUUUCUCCACUCAGAAAACUCCUUCCAUGUCACAGGCCUUCCCUGACCCUGAGAAUCCAGAGAAGGGUGGGUUGCCACCCACACCCCCAAAUGGCUGGGGUUUGAGGACAUCUGUGAACGGUGUUCAGUUCCAGCUUGAAGAGGGUGAGACCUUGGGAAUCACUUGACAGUCUUUUAGUUUGGACAGAAGAAAUUUGUCAUCUUCUGGGCCUCCCCACAUUGCCACUGCCCGCCCCCCGGGUGGGCACAGCAGGAGCCCCAGCCGCUUGCCCGCAUCUUUACCUACACUCUUUUCUCCAUUCUUCUCUGGAUGGCAAGGGUCGCUCUGUGUCCACUUGAGACGCCCAGUCCCCUGAAAGCGAUGGAUCUGUUGCGCCCAUGAGACUAUGUCCAACCAACCAGCUUCUCCUAUGACCUAUAGCCAUGUCGUCUGUGUGCGCCCAGGAAGUCCGGAGGGAUGUGAUGAACGCUCCACACAGUGACAGUGCUUUCCGCUCUGCGGCUGGGGCAGGGUUGGUAUUCCUUGCUGAUGGGUCCAGAGAGGUUCCCCUUUUCCCUCAAGAACACAAGGAGCACCUCCAGACUCUCCUGUCCUCUCUUCCUUCCUCCCUGUUUCUUUCACCUCAGUCCAAGUUUCUUCCAGCCCACCCUGGACGUCAGUACGGCGUCGACAGUUAGAUGCACCUCUCCAAAUGGCAUGCUGCAAUCUCCCGGAACCCAGUCCUGGGGGGUCAGGGGACAUCGUAAGCCCGCGGGCUAGGAGAGGCAGCAGGCACAGUCUUCAGGCCCGUUGGUCAAGGCCGAGGCCUCGGAACCAUAAAAGCCAAUCCGUGCCCUCAAGGAAUUUACAGUGUCUUUAGCAAGAGGUGAACAAAUACAGGGAACCGUUGAAGGCAGGGGGGCGGGGGGACUAAUUGGUUCUUAAGAUUCCUAAAGAAGUCUGCAUGACUGCAGAGGCCAGUUUCAGCUGGAAUCUGAGGGAAAUUUAACGCUUAGGGGGAGCAGGUGGGGGGACACCAAGUGCUCAGGAACAUUUGAGGGAAUAUUUGGACAGGGAUGGAGGGCAUCUGCAGAAGACAAGAAGGACGAAGCAAGAGAGGGAGGCAGGGAGCCACAAACUGUCCGGUCACUCACACCAAGUUGGAGAGUUUGGACUUUAAUCUGUGGGCAAUGGGAAGCUGUUGAAGGUUCUGUGAGCCUAGCGGGGAGGAAAUGGUGGCAGGGGAGAAUCGCUUGUCAGUGGUGCAUGGAAAGGACUGGAAGGGUUGUGUCCGGAGUCUGGGAGACCAGUUGGGAACGUUUGCACAGGCUCGGGUGCCUGGCAGCCAGGAUCAAAGCUCAUCUGGAGACUUAGGGGACGCACGAGUCAGCAAAUGACAUUGGGAAGGCACCAGGGAGUAGUGACUGACUUUGCUGGGGUCAAAGAUGACAUUGAGGUUUCUGGUUUGGAAGAACUGGGUGCCGUUCCACAGCGGGGGGCUGGCCAUUAUUUGAGAGCAUAGUCAAAGAGUUCAUUUGCAGUCAGGUUAUAGGAAAGGACUAUAUCCUGGAUGCAGAAUAGAAAUCCCACCAGAGGGAUGAGUCUGAUUAUACACGUCUUUUCUCCCUCUCCACUCUUCCCCCACCCCUAGACCACAUCUCUUCAGGCAUCAGAGAAUAUUUUCCUUGGACCUCGGUCAUCGUGCCCUAAGCAAUACUGGUGCAUCUCAGUAGAGAGAUUUGCAACCAGCUGUUCCACCAACCAGGUGACUCAAGCAGAAGGCAGCUCACAGAGGACGGCUGGUGUGCUGCCUAGAGACCCCCAGACCCCUGAACUGACUUGUGCUUAGGGAACAAAUGGUGCCACUUGUCUUUCUGUUGGCUCAGUGGCCCACCAGUUCCUACUUCUUGUGAUUCAGGCCUUUCUUCUUGACGAGUAGGUUGCAGAGAGUGACGAGGAUCUCUGCAGAAAAGUGUGUUAGACCAAGAAUGAGGCCAAUCCUAUUUCCCCACCAUCUGAUCCAUCUAUCUACUGGUGCUCCUCACAAGGCACACAGCCAAGUCUACCUGGGCCCAGACGUGAGGGCCACUUUCUAUUGGUGCCCACGUCUGGCUAUUUCCCCUGAAGUGCCAUUUCUAUUCACACUCGAUGUGUACAGGAGGCCCCUGCUCCUCUCUCCUCUUUGAUGUUGUCAAAGCUUCCUAAGACCCUCAGCUUCUACCUCUGGAAUAGCGUCUGUGGUCCCUGAUACUUCCUACGUGUGGGAGGGGUGGGGAUGGGGCAGACUUUGCAGCAAGGGUGAGAUCAGGUAGGGGUUGCUCCAGAAGACGAUCAGAGAGGAGAAGGCCAACCUGACCUCUGGGGGGUGGGGGCAGGGUUCCCUAGUCCAGGGCUCAUUCUCUGGAGGGUCAAGUGCUCUGGAGUAAGCCCUCCUGUAUCUUUCCCUCUGUACUUUGGUCACACCGCCAAAAAUGAGCAACUCCUGUUGACUCUGGGUCGAAAGGUCCCUUGUGCCUGGGCCCUCAGCUGUGAAACCCUCUUUGGCCCCACCCGGGGAGGGGGCUUGUGCAAGACAGGGCAGCUGCCCAAGCCAUGCAAGCCACUAUAGGCUGUGACCAAGCAGCCCCAGGGAUCCACCCCUGCAGGCUACACCUUGUCCAGUGUGGAGGCUCCCUGGACCCAGCCCCAGAAAGGCCUGAGCAAAGGAAACACACAGGGCCCUCCAGGCCACAGUCGCUUCUGAUGUAAAAUGAGGUCUUUGAACUUGAGGGCCUGGAAGUGGCCCUCCAGUACUAGCGGUCCAUGAUUGUCUGAAACCCAUCAGCUUCUUCUUCUUCACCCCACAACUGAAUUUUCCCUGCCUCCUGCACAUCAAUGACGCAGGCGGGAGUCCCCCACGAUGUGGCCCAGUGCCAUGUCCUGGGGAUUAUAUCCUGAUUGUGUUCAACAUUUGCCUGAAUAGAAACCAGGUGACAGCACGGGAAGGACCCCCGCUCCGAAGGCGCUUUCACCCCUAAGCAUGGAUCAAAUGCAUCUGGUGGGUACAGGACACCAGGAACACGUGGCAGACCCCACCUCCAGAUGCCCACGGCUCAGUAGGAGGAGAUGGACCAACAAAUAAACAAGAAAAUCUAAACUAUGUAGCCUUUCCUGGUGGGUCCGAGCCAGCCCAAGGCCCUGCCUUCUCCCCGGUUAGCAUGGGAUGAUGGACUUUCGAAUCGGGCAGUGGGGAGAGAGGGAAAUAAUGUUACUCCCAAUUCAACCCCGGAGCCCCAACACCCUUUUAGCUUUUGCUUUAUGCUUUGGCACUUUCUUUGUUUUUGGUUUGCAGGUGAUUAGGAUCUUGACUACUAAGAAACUUUUAUAAAUUUGGCUGAUGUACACUGAUUCUUUCGUCCUGGAACCUAGAGUCUCCGCCCAUUUCCUGAUGGGCACUGUCACCUGGGAGCCCCAACUCCAGAUGAGACAGGAAAUCUUGGAGUAUCGAUGAUGGUGCUCUCAGCACUGGGAAAAUGGAGGGACACCAGAGAUAGUGGCAGAAACUGUCACCAGCCCUCAUCCCAGGACCCCCCAAAGGAGCACCCGUUACCCCUUUAUUCUUUGCCCUUCUCUUCAGCCAGGUUCCUUCUGAAACAAAUGACCAGCUUAUAUGUUUGGGUGACGUUUUUAAGCCAUGGCAACUGUCCCCCAGGUUGGCCCAAACUCUCCUGCGGCCUGGGAGACCCCCCCCCACCUUUCUUUCUGUCCCAUUUUGCCCCAGUCAAUCAUCACAAGGAAGGCCUAGAAGUAUUACAGCCUGAAACUAGCUUAGAAGUAUGUCAGUGGGGCCAAAGCAGGGUCAGUGGGGGGCGGCGGGGGGAUCUUUUCUACAGUAGCUUUGAAGCUGCCAUUGAGCACAUGUCCCCUGACUCUAAGCAGCAUCCCAACUCAAAACAAAGUGGCCCCGAUAGCCCCAGAUAACGCCUCCUACUCUGUGCCUGGAUACUGACAGGUGGUCACGUCCACAAAAGUGUGUGUGGACACUUCAACCUCCUUGACUUCAUAAAGAUUAAAAAGUGUCUAGCAGACAGACAGGAUCUCUGCCCCCAGGAAAACAGUGAUCUAGAACAAUGAGACAGAUAUUAACCAAAUGAUGACCCAAGUUUGUACUUACAAUUCUAAGAGCAGGGAGAAAAUGCCCAGGGUGCUGUAAGCAUAGUGGAGGUUAAAGUAGAGAACAGGCUUCUAGAAAUUUCUAGUUCCCUCUUGCCCCAGCUGAAUCUGACUUCCGAACAGAUGAUGGUUUCUUCCCAACUUCCUUCCAAAUGGUGAGAUAAAAGAGCUCCUCUCCUGCAGGUAACUCCCAUGUGGAUGCCAGCCAGAAGCCGCCCUGAGGGUCUCAAUGGUCACUGGGGCUCCCAGAGACCUGCUCCCACAGGCCUCAGGCUGGAGAGACAUGGCAAUCACAUGACAACCUUGCACAUGCAGUAAGGCUGAGCGGCUAGAUAGCGAUUUUAGCUUAUUUUUGGUCCUUCUCUGUUCCAUAUCUCUAUCCUUUGGUUUUAAAAAGGCCAGAUCGAUUUUGAGCCUGGUUCUAAACAUGGAAACUUAACUCACUUUGUACCUGCUCCUGGUGCCUUCGCCGUGGAGAGGCCCUGCUGCCUUGGGUCAUUUGCCCCAAGAAGCUUGGGUCCUUUGUCUCCCAAGUAGGGGGUGCUCAGAAAUCCUUCCAGAGACUCAAGUUGCAUCGCAGUGUCCAGUUUGUAGCCUGUACCACUUACCUGUGGCUGAACACUGAGAAGUAGACCAAUCUCCUUGUUUGUAAUCACAGGUGAAUUCACAGCAGGAAGGCGAUGCUCCCGGGGGUGGAUCUAAAUGGGCAUUUGCCACCAGAUAACCCUCAGCCAAAUCUGGUGUGCAGCCUGCCUAGACCCCGGUUGGUUUAUUACCUCUCAGAGUGGGCAAAGCUUAAUAUUGGUCUUCACUUCUUGCUCAACACCCUUUCUCCAGAGAGGGUCCUUGGAAAGCACCUUCUUAGACAGGAAAGGAGGAGGCCAGAAAGACUGGCUUCCAGAAAUUCUGGGAUUCAACAGGUGCCAUUCUGGCUUGCCCUUCCCUGGUUCCUUGGGAUCCUAUGUGAGUGCUGUGUGACUCUCAAACGUCUCAGGGAAAGAAAGGUGGAGUCUGGCCAGUUCUUCUCGCUGUCAGGUGUGACUGCCACAUGGUGUCAUCAUUGAACACUGACCCUGUGGAGGGUCCCUGGACUUGAGCUGGUCCAGCAGUGACGAUGCCCUGAGCAGGCUGUAGACUUCCUCAAGAGAAGGUGACCCCACUUCCAUGGUGUUAAACUCAACCUAGGCCCCACCUUUGAGCAUGCCUAUGAGUAUGCAUGGGUGUGUACACACACACACACACACACACACACACACACACACACUCGGUGGCUAUUUCCAAAGCACGUCCAGCGUGCCUGAGUGACUGGGUCAAGGAUUGCUUCCAUCCCCACAGAGAGUGCUAGAAUCCCAUCCCUUCCCCCAACUGACCUCCUCCAUGUGGCCUUACAUUGAGCCUGGGCCAGUAGUCAAGGUGGAAUUUUAUGCCUGAGUGUGGCGCACCUUUAUCCAUCCCAAAAGACUUCAGGACUUUGAAUAUCAGGAAUUAGAGGUUGGAGUCUUUGCCAGAAGGUUCUAGCUCCUAUGCAAGUAGAUUUACUUCCUCACCUAAUUAGCUCUGCAUUCAGGAGACUUCUGAGGGCAAGUCAAGGAAGGUUCUAUAACAGUCUAAAUCCAUAAAAAAAGCAACUGCUUGCUCUCACUGCUCUCUCUACAUAACAAAGAGGGACGUUCAAGUGGGUUUUUCAAAGGGGAGAGAUUAGCUUCUCUCAAUUAAAAAAAAAAUUAAGGCAGCUACAUUUACAUUCCUUCUGUAUGUGUGGUCCUUUCUGUCUGCUUGGGGACUAUGGUCUCCUCUAAUGAUCUUUGAUUCUGUUUACUCCACUAAAGAGUUAUCAAAACCUAAAUUCUAAGACUUUUUUAGCCCAGGCAACGGGCCUUCCCUGUUUAAACAUGGAAAAGAGAAUAUUUUCCCAUGAGCUGUUCCUCUAGAAACAGAUUAUUAAUCUAAGCAGAAAAUCUCCCUGACUCAUAAAUAGCACGGGUAGUGUUCAAUGUGGUCUAUAGUAUACAUCUGAAAAAAACAAAAUAUAACUUCGUUUCUACCAGGGGCCAGCACCAUGGAUUAUAUCACAUCGGGCUGCGUUUAUCACCCUUCUUUAAACUUUUAAGAUAUCUAACUGGGAUGAUUAGAAACCAAAAUGUGCAAGGCUAUAUUGGCCACAUGCUGCUUUGUAGCAGAGCUGUGCGAGUCUGUCCAGCAGACAACUAAGAGAGGGUUUCUUACCUCGCUGCCUAUCAAGCGAUGGCUCCUCGAACUGAACUCUUUGGGGUCGGCUUCGGACAAACUGUCGAGCCUGCAGCCAGGAAAAAAAUAAAAAAUCUUCCUAGUCAGAAACCACAUCUAAUCUUCACAAAUUAUUAUCAAUUUCUCUUUGCAAUAAAAAAAUCUCAGAUAAUAUACGUCCUUAAUGGAGGGCCAGCAUAUCUGUCCAUGAGAUCCAGGGAGGGGUUGGGGGGGUGGGGUGUACUGGGGAGAGGAAGGAAGAAAGCAGGUAAAUUAGAACACUCAUUUAUUACAUAUAGUGUCAGAUUAUUUGACAUUUUUACAGUAAGCAGUCUCUUUCAUGCUUUUAUAAUUCUUAAUUUUUUUUAAAGUUCCAAUGUCAGUUCUUUCUUGAUUAAGCCCAACUAUAGCUGUCUUUGGCUACUAUUAUACCCAAGAAACAAGGAUUUAAGCACAGUGGUCUAGAGACAAAUUAGCUUGCUGAUUAUCACCCCAAGGAGACAUCUCGUAGGAACAACAUAAGGCUGUAGCUCGUGUGGAUUUUUGGCUCCAUUGAUUAAAAAAAAAAAAAAAAAAAAAAAAAAGGCUUUGAAAUACACUAAAUGAGACCAGUUCAGAUCCCUGUACUGAUGCAUGUAGGAAGUCUGUAUUCUAGCAUCAAAACAAGGCAUAUAGAAACUGUCGUUCUCAGAUAAGAAUUUCCAGUUCGAGAAUAUGGGAUAUAGUCUGAAAUUCCAUUCAUAUUUGUGAGUAACUUGGACCCACUUUUAGGUGAACCAGAUACAAGUCCCCCACUGUAGCUGAGCUCUUCUUCAUGCAAAUAACAUGACCUCAUUGCCAAGAUUAGAAAUACCUUGAUAGACAACUGGCCCUACUUUCAAUCAGCUAUUACAAAUUCUGCCCCCACUCUCUAAUAUCCUCAUGCCUCAUGUCGACAUAUCAUUUACUGGGGUGACAUUUUGAAAACAUGGAUUUCUUUUUUAUUUAUUUUUUUGUUUUAGAAAACAUACAUUUCUUGCAGAUACAGGAAACUACUUUGCUCAAAGUUAAUUGAGCAUUUAGAGUAAUUUCAGAAAUGUGUUUAUAGGCUAAGGAGGGCAUCUGGUUACACCUGUUCUCAGAAUGAUACCGGCUAAAAGAAAAAGCACAGUCAACAAGUAUGUUUAAACCUCUAUUGUGUUUGGUUUGGAGAAAUCAAAAAAUAGAACACAAAUUGAAAUUUAACUACCCAUCACAGUCUGAAAAAUAGAUCAAAGCUGCAGAAAGAUACACUUUUUUUAAUUACGUGGAUUUGCUGUCAUGAUUUUUAUGUUUUGUUUCUGAAGGGUAGAGAACGAUCACACCUAUUCCACACUUCCACAUACAUCACACUGCAGCAAACGAAGGCUUUUAUUUCUGCCUCCCUGAAAUGCACACUCAUUUUCCUUUUGAACAAUGGUGUUUGAGGAAUCGGAGGCCUCUCGGUGCAAGAGUCCUUCAAAAUGCUGCUCAAACUGAGGAUUUUGAGGAGAUGAUCACCACUUGGGGACCUGGAAAGGGUUAUCCUGCAGCACCUCUAUAGAAUUAUUUCCAUGUUUGUGCUCUGCAGUAACUUGUAAUUCAGCACCAGGAUUCCCUUUGCUCCCCAUUUUUAACUAACGAGGCCAAAGCGGGUCUAAAGCAAGUAACGAAGGACUAAGGGAAAAAAACUGAGACUGUUUGGUGGUCAGAAAACAUCAUGGCAGCUGGCAGUGAGAGCCAGGCCGCCCAAGGAUGGCGUAAGUUUUAAAGAUGCUCAGAGAGUCUCCCCAAGCUACCCCACAGAUGUGACCAAUACACAUACAUAGCACCCACACUUGGCCUUAAGGGGAAUUGUUCAAAAACACUUAACUUAUAGGGUUUGAAAAUUGGAUAUUUAUCUUCUUUAAUUCCUUCAUGCGCCUCUCAGAGUUCAUGAACCAACAGUCGGGAAACAUCCUCUGGAACAGCUGAUGGAAAGGCACAAGGAUUAGAACUUUGAAAAGCAUCUAAAGGGCUUGUUUGGGGUUGGUUUUUGCUGGUUGGCUCAUUUGAGGGGAAACCUUGGUCCUGUUGGCUCGUGUGUGCGUUCGCAACCCCACAUUCUUCCAACCCGUGGCCUUGUUAGGAUUCUCAGCUUUCCUAGAAGAUCUCUAUCCCACUGCCUCUCCAAGCACCUAGCCAGCAUCCUGGAGUAAGCAUACUCCUAGCAUUCAGCAGGGAUAUCAGUUGGGCACAGUAAGGGGACUCUCCUGAAAUAGAGCCCAUCCUGUCCAUCUGGCACUCCAGAACAGCACUGUUCAAGUUUUUUAAACCCACUCGGCAUUUUGACAACCCCCAACCCCAAAUCACGGCCAUCCUUUAUACAGUUACUUGAAAUUCCAAACUAAAUUCAACCCCAGAACUUGGAAAUUCAAACAUCAAGGCAAGAGGACAACACUCCAACUUGCCUUCACACUCUACAAUAGCCACACACCUGUUAGAAAGGCGGAAACUCCUUUCUAUAGUCCUGUAGACUAUAAUAUGAUUAUUCAUCAAGAUAUUACAAGAGCAUCAAUUGGAACAUUCUUCGUAUUAAUAAGACAUUAAGGAAUAUGUACCUAAAUCUACCCAAAUCUACCAAAAUCUCCCAAAUUGAUUUCUUUCCUCUAUUCCAACAACAAACAGAAAAUAUAGGAGUAUAUUGGGAGGAUUGAAAAAACUCAGAAACCACACUAAUGACAAAUGUCAAAGACCUAUAUUAAAAACACAAACCUUUUACAGAGAUUGAUAAAAGAGAAAAGUUCAUGGAAAGACGUAACCUUGGAUUGAAACAUUCAAUAUAUUAAUGCUGUUAAUCCUCACCAAAGUAAUUGUUAGGUGAAAUGCAAGCCUAACUGAAUUCCAGUGGGAUUUUUUUUUUUUUUUACCUUGAUGAAAGAUUCUAAAGCUGAUCUGGAAGGGGAAAAAAUGAUGAGAGGAGAAUAGUUAGGAGUUGUUUAAAGAAUAUCAAGGAAGUACUUUCCCUAAGAGAUAUCCAGCUAUAUUAUUAUUGAUACAGUCAUUAAAAUAGUGUGUUACUGAUUGCAAGACUCAAAUCAAUUGAAGAAGUGGAACCACACAGUCCUGAAACCUAUUAUAUGGUUUUUUUUUAAACUUAAAUCUGAGAAAUGAAAUACCAGAAAGCAAUGGUUAAUGUUUGAAUUAUCUAAAAGGGAAAUUGGAAAAUAUGGCCGUUUGGGAAGGGGAAGGAAUCAAAUUUGAUUCCUAUCUCAUAACAUACACUCAAAAACAUUUGAGUGUAUUAAAUGUAAAAAAAAAAAAUGAAUCCAAAAAUAUCUAAAAGGAAAUAUUGGUGUAUAUUUAACUAAAGCCUAGGUGAGGAAAGGCUUUAAAAAAAUUUUUUUUAAUGUUUUAUUUAUUUUUGAGAGAGAGAGAGAGACAGAGCACAAGCAUGGAAGGGGCAGAGACAGAGGGAGACACAGAAUGUGAAGCAGGCUCCAGGCUCCGAGCUGCCAGCACAGAGACGGAUGCGGGGCUCAAACUCGUGAACCAUGAGAUCAUGACCUGAGCUGAAGCGCGAUGCUUAGCAGACUGAGCCACCCAGGUGCCCCUAGCAAAAGCUUUUUGAUCAUGAAGUAAAUGAAAGUGAUGAUCAGAACAGAAGGAGUUAUCUAAAAACAUAUCAAAAACAACCUGCACAAAACAUAAAAGGAAAUGAUAAAUCGGCUAAAAAUAUUUGAAGGAAAUGAACAAAGAGCUAAAAGGUUUAAUACAGCAAAUACUUUUAUACAUCAAUAAGGAAGACAAUCCUGGGCAGACAGAGAAUCCCAAGCAUACAAUUUUUAGAAGAAAUACAAGUGUGUAACUAAAUUCAUGAUAAAUGUUUGAUCUCAAGGUUAAUCAGAAAAAGGCACAUCAGCAAAAUGAGAUCUUUUUUGCAGUUAAUAACUGUGUCUUUUAAUUAUAUUCACAGUUGAUGAGGUGAAGAAGGGUGGCGGGGGGUGGGGCUGUUCAGGUCCCCUUCCAGGGAGCCUGCCUGGGAAGCCUGGGAAGCAGAAUUGACUGACAGCUCUAGCUGCCUGCCCCCUGGUGACCCCUAAGGGUCCCAACCGCAGCUUGAGAGUGACAAGGGUCCUCAGACCAGCCCAUUCUUGCAAGAAACUUUGGUUUGGGGGUUCCCUACCUCUGCUCAAAACUUUCUUAGAAUCAUGCCACAGUCUGAGCCACUUCUACACUACCCUUUCCUCUCUCGCCUUCCCAAAUUUCCGUCUGAAGGCUCUUCUGCUGGCCCUGCCCCCCUCCUCACCUUCCCCUUCACACUGGCAUCACCCCCAUCCACAUACAUCUGGGUGCCUGCUUCUCAAGACACUAGAGUGACACAGGAAGUGAUGUGGGCACCGUCCUACUCUGCUAAUGGGACUGUCAAUGAGCACAACCUUUUUGGAAACUACCAACGAUGGAAUUAACGGUGUUUCCUCAUUGAAUAGGAUAUUGUGUGGUUGUGAACCGUCAGGUUUGGAAAGAACCCUGAUGGGAAAAUAUUUGUUUUAUAAUCUUAACUGGCUAAAGUGAGAAACUACAUUGACAGCAUGACAUGAGUUUCAAAGAACCAUCACAUGUAAUAGAUGGACACAUAGAAGAAAGACGGGCAACAAAUCCACCCUGAUGUACAGGGUGGCCAUGUCAGAGGAAGGGGCUGUGGACGACUUUUUCGUCUUUAUACGUUUCUGCGUUUUUUGUAUUUUCUGCAGAAAGUAGGUAUUAUUUCAUAGUCAGGAGCUUUAAACAACAAGAUUUAAAUGCAGGCCAGAACAAGAGGGGGCAAUAGAACAGGAGCCCAGUGUAAUUGUACAGGAUCCACUGUGAUGGGCUGGGAAGGGGAAGAGGGCCCCCGGCCCCAGGCCAGAUGGAAAGGCCGCAACAGACAUUCAGAUGACUGGAGUGGCCAUGGCCACAGGCAGGAAUUGCACGGUCUGAACCAUCAGUGGGAAGUGGGAACAGGGUUGGUUUUUUUUAAUGAGAAAAACAAUAGGAAAGAUUGAGAAGCUCAAGUCAGAACAGGAAAGAGUCUUCAAGUGCUAAGCCAGUCCGUGGAAAGCCUUGGAAGUUUCUUUGGCAUUGCCAGCUGACUGAUACUCCCUUCUCCCUGCCAUUCCUCUGAAUCCCCAGAUUAAACCCAGAGAAAGCACCCACAGCGAGAAGCAGCUAGAAGGAGUUUGAGGUUUAGUCGUCAUGUGCUCAUCUACCUGAGUGCCUGCAGCCUAGGCAGCCACGGGCCCCCGGGGGGAACUGUCCCCACCCCUAAGGGAGGGCAGCCUUCCCUUGAAGUGACUCUUCCUCAGGAGUUGUUUUUCUUCUCUUUUGCUUCGUCUGCCUCUCCCUCACGUGGGCGAGGGGGCGGAGAUCCAUGCCUCUCAGUCUGGACUUUUAAAGAAACCCCUAGAAUCCCCCUCCCUUGAGGACCCGUCUCUGGUCACUUCGCCUUUUUGCUUUUUUACUCCUGUAUCUGCGGCCAGCCACAGCUGUCUCUCUCGGACAGAAACCAUGAACUCUGGUCCUGGAUGACUCCUCCCACCCCCAACGCUGUUCCCAGCCCCAGUAGGAUAUUUCUGGGCCCCUGGGGGCCUCACCUACCCAGAGGAGGGUUCCAGCUCCCCAAAGGCUGCCCUGUUCCAAUCUGCCCCUGCCUGUGGAGGGAGAAAGGAGGGAGGCUUGGGGCGGUGGGGGCAGGGGCAGGGGCAGGAGGCGGGCAGGCCAACCCCCUCCUCCUCUUUCUUCCAAGCGGCAGCAGGCAAACCCCUCUUCUUCCAGUCUGGGCAUCUCAGAAAUGCACAGGAUUCUAGAGAUGAAGAAAAGCCCGGACAUGUCGUUUAUACUUUCACAGCUAACUGCCGAAUCCCUUUCAGUCAAAUGCCCAAGUACACGUGGCAAGACUUGCUCCAAGAAGUGAUGGGGCCUGAGGCUCAGGGCGGUCCCUCAGGCCCAGAAAGGCUGGGUCCAGCGACCUUAGAUGUUCGAGGGGUGAGGGGGCACCGGGGGGGCAUUCCACAGCUAGCCCAGGAAGCAGAUGGAAAGGCUCCCCCCUUCCUCUGGGACCUUCCCCACACGCCAUUCUGGGCUCACUCUGCACGACUCCAGGAUUAGUCGGGGUCGGCUGAGAUUCACUCCAGGAGUGACCCCGGACCACAGUAAGAAGCGCCUAUGAUGUGGGUACCCAUCACACCCACGGGUGCACUCCAAGAGGAAGCGUAAGUUUCACAAAACAGUACUUACCCCAGUACGUGUAGCACACACUGAUAUUUUCUCUUACGGUUUUGAUGCUGUUCAAGACCCACUAAACCAUUUCAUGACUCACUGUUGGCUGGCAGCUGGCAGUUUAAGGCCCCCGGGCACCCUGACAGCCUCCCAUCAGGUGUUGGAGAGGAACCAUCCGAAUUGGAAGGCUUUGGUGACGGGCCUCCCCUCCUUCUCUGUUUCUCCGUGCUAGGUCAUAGUAAGCACCUGGCACUUUUAGGUUAAGGGGGGCCGGGGGGGGGGGGCGGUGACGGGCUGGUGCCUGUAGGAAAGAUGCCAGGGGUAGGAGUGGAGAGGGAAUCUCGGAGGGAAACUGCUUCGAGGUAUGUCUCAUAUCCAGGUCAGGGCUCAAGCUGCACGGCAGAAGCAUAGGCACCUGUAUUUUCUAGGCUUUUCCCAUUCUCGAUGCCAGGCACCCCUCCUCCUCCCUGCUGGGGAAAGACAAAGACUAUUUACCCCACGGGAUGUCCCUCGGGGAAUCCUGGGCUCCCAGGCUCCAUUCACCCGUCCCUAAAUGACCAGAGUUUAGGAGCAGCUGGGACUCCUUUAAACUCCAGCUGGGAGAGGGCAAGAUUGAGCUCACCUGAUAUCUUUUCACAAGGGAUACAAGAGAUUAGUGAUUCCCUCUCACUGCACCCCUACAAGCAUCUUCGGAAAGAUCCCUGGGGGACUGAAGCAGGGAAGGUGGGUGAAGUGCCCCAAAGCCCUCCCACACAAAGCCCUGCUUUGGGCUGCGGUCCAUUCUCAGUAUCCUUGCCUUGCGUCGCAUCCCCAGCUCUGGGAAGCUAUUGCCCUAACCAUUGAGCCUAGUGUUUCCAGGAACAUGGUAGUCAAGUCUCCAGCGGCAUCCCUCAGACCGCCAGCACCCUGGCAUGGUCCAGACGGCCCCGAGCCUCAGGGCGCUGCCCACUAGGAUCUGACCCUGCCAGAGCUGGGUUCACUGCUGCUGAGCCAGGUCAGAAGCCUCUCCUUUUGUUGUUCUCUCCUCUUCUGCUCCAAGCCACCAGGGUCUGGGCCGCAGGAGGGGUGUGGUCCAUCCCUGACAUCCAAGAGUCACUUUCAUCUCCAUCCGACUCAAGUCACUGCAGCGUCCCCCAAGUUCUUAUAAACGCCACUGUCUACAAGUGUUUACAGAAUACUCACUACACUGCACUCAAGCCCAAGGAAACAAGGAAACAAGACAGAUUCCAAAUGCUCACGGAGCUUGCAAUGCCACAGGGAAGACAGCAGUCCAAGCCAUGUAUGAGUGCCUGCAAGAGGCCAAGCUAGGCGUCUAGGGGGUGGGAGCUGGGCGGGAUGACUGGGGUGCUGUGACAGGGGGCGGUGUGAGGGGAGAAGGAAUUUGAGGGGAAGAGAGGGUGGCCACACCAAAGGGAAAGACUAUAUGGCACCAUCCCAGUCCCCCUGGGCCACAAAAGAUGGGCUUCCCGUGCAAGUCGCUUCUCCCUCCUCCGUGUCAUAUUUUUGUCAAGUGACAAAAGCCUGCGUCUGAGAGAGACCCUUCCUGUUUUCUUCCUGUAGACUCGAUGUCUAGCGUUUCUCAACGUCCUAGAUCAGAAAGUCAGCUUAGAUACAUGACGGCGGCACAGCUCUGUGAGCGGGGAGAUUCAUGCUUGUGCUGGGUUGGCCAUCAGACAAGGAGAUCCCGACGAUCUCUUCCAGAUCCCAGAUUGGCGAAUCUCUCUACUCCCUCCCAAAUCCAUCCUCCAUUUCCAAGACUGUCAGGUGUCUGGUUGACCAGCUCUCACCAUUUCCCUGUCACGGUCGAUAGGCACAGCCAUGGGGCUGCGUUCUUUCCAGUGUGGAAAGAAGGUGUGGAUGACUUCCAGGUAGCCCAGAAAAGCAUUAUACGCUCCCACAUCCCAUGAGCCGGAGUGAUGAUGACCAGAAUAGCAACCCUGGAAGCCACUUGUUGAAAAUGGCAGAGCCACUCUCCGUGUGGGUCCUAUAGGAAUGCACAGAGCAGUAUACUUUCUGCCCCAUCUCCAACCAUCCAGGACAUGUGCCUGGACUAUUAGGUGAGAAAGAAAGAAACGUCUCUUGCCCUUGAGCUCUAUUGUAUCUUGGGUCUAUUUGUUAAGAGCAUUUUGGCCUACCCUAACAUAAUCUCAAAGACCUGAGUUUUCCUUUAUCAGUCAAACAAGUGACUCAAGAAUGGUUAAUGAAACUCAAUUACUUACAAUUCUGGGUAUUGAUAACUUAGGGAAAGAGAAAAUUAGGUGGCAAUUUAAAUGAAGGGUUACACAUUCAUAAACUUGCCCUAAAACAUUUUGGAGAUGUCAACUUUAGCUUUGUAUAUCUCCAUUUGAAUUUGAAGACAGAGCUGGCAGCCAGUUCCAAGGAGGUGUCUAAUUGAGGAUUGCUUUUCAAUUCAAAAAACAUACCCUGAGAGUCCCCCCUGCCAGGUAAACCCAACUCUUAGAAAGGGAGCUGGAUACAAAAUGGAAGAAGUGGCCUCCUAGAAACAAUGGUACCCUUUACUGGGCUCCAGAAAAGCAAUCAAAUAUAGCCACCCAACGGGUUCUCACCUACCGAGCUCUUUCUGCAGGCCUGGAGGAUACUGACAUCAUGCAAAUGUUGUGUCUAAAAGAGAAAACCCAAGGUGUUCUGGAAGGAGGGACGGUGCUUUCCCUCCACCCUUAGAAUUGUCCUUUAGAGGAGAAUUGUGUCUUAGGAAGAAAACUACUGCUGUCAGCACAGCACCAAUCAUGACCAGUAGGAACCUAAGGCGGUACCUGGGCUGGGGACGGAGGCCUGGCUGUCAGUGGCUAAGAUGUCUUCCUGAACCCUCCAGGAUGCUUUUAGAGUUUAUGUUUUUAAGCACACGCAAAGUGCGUUGUUGACAUGUUGCACGGCAGAACCUGAUAUAUACUCUCUCCCCAAUACCCAAGUAAAAUAUCCCAAAAUGUGCUCGCAAUGGGGAAGGCCCUCAACUAACCGCUGUAUUCAUGGUGGCAGCCUGCUGGUGACUUGCGCGUCGUAGGGGAGCUCGGUCACGUACAUGUUUUGAGAAGUGCUAAAUUGCAAUCAUGCAAAUAUGUUAUACAUCCCAUUUCUUAAUCCAUGUAAUGGAAAGAAAACGCAAAUGAAAGUAUCCAGAAGAUACCGUAACUGGAUCAAGUCUUUUUUCAAUUGCUACAGUCUUCUGAAGAUAGACCUCAAAACCCCAGCAAUGCCACGACCUGGGGUCCUGACAUUCAAGCUUAAAGCUUCUGCCGUCACUCCCUUAGCUGACCUCUGAGUCCCAGGCAAUGUGCCACUGGCUGCAUCUGGCCCCCUCGCAGCCCACCCCAGCUUGAAUUCCUCCUUUGGCAAAAGCCUGCUGGUGCCAGCAUGGAGCUCUGCUCUGCCCCACGGAGGGAACUACCCAGCCCCAAAAGGUUAGUGAUGGAAGUUAAAGAAACUCCAUGCACCUGGGCUGACAGAUACAAGUCCUAGAGCGGGGACCGUGCUGGUUCAGGAACAAAUAAAUCUGGGGGUGCGGGGGGUGACUGGGAGGAGAGGGAUUCUGGGCUGGGGGGGGUGACUGGGAGGAGAGGGAUUCUAGAACAUUUGAGAUUGCGAAGCCUACACAGGUGUAGGGUUUUUGGUGUGUUUUGUAGAUCAGUGUGUCCCCAGUGCCCAAAAUUGGACUUGGCACAUGGUAGGUGCUCAGUAAAUAUUUGUGGAAUGAAUGAAUGAAUGAAUGAAUGACUCAAGAUGGUUCCUUACUGACCGGAAGUAGACGUGUGGAAUUAUGUAGUUGGAGAGAGCCCCUGCCAGCUAGGCUGCCCAAGCUGGAUGGCAGAAAGGCCAGCUGGCUCACCACCAAGGUGCACGUUUCUCCCAGAGACCACGGGAGGACAGCAGGAAAGUGGAGGACCUCCCUCCACCCAGCCCCUGCAAGCUCAGAAGCCUGGUUUUCCUGGGUAUCCAAAACUGAUAAACUCCAAGGCCAAGGGUGAUCAUUAGAAAAAAAGAGGAAGACUUCUGUCCCAGGGGACACCAGCAGGUCCUGCGGACACACCUCCCUGGUACCUGGCCCCUCCUCUCCGAUCCUCUGAGGUCUAGAGUCUCCUCCGUCACCCUGGACCUCUCCUCUCCCCUCCUGGGCUGUCUCCAGGAUGCAUCUGGAGUCUACCUUAGGGCUGGGAAGUGUGGAAUCAGGACAAGGCACGUUAACAGGGGUGGGGGGUGGGGCCACUUGGGCAAGAUUUACAUCAUCGUAUGUGGCUUCUUGAGGUACUGACUGGUAGCAACUCCUGGUAAAGGCAAAAACGACUAUCAAAUAUACCAAGAAUCUUUGCCCUCCGUGACCCACUUCCAGGAAUCAACCCUUAGAAGUGAUGACAGGAGGCGUCGCAAUACACCUGAAAAAGGAUGUUCUUGAAUGCAUUAAUAAUGAUGGGAACUUGGAAGCUACAUACACGCCCUGGAGAGAAGGGUUAAAUGAGAGUGUGGUCCUCAGGAAACCCACUUAUGCCCCCAGCAUGCCGCAGGACCAAGAGAUGACAGGAGCCUCCAAACGUAAUUAAACCAUGCCUGCAAAGGAUUUUAGAAAUUUGCACGAAGGGUAGGGGUUUGCAGAGAUGGCUUACCGUUGCAGCGCGCGUGGCAUUUCACUCCAAACAGAAGGAAAAAAAAAAAAACCUACACUCAGCUCCUGUCCCCGGGGCUCCCUGGGUAUGUCCAGCCCCUGAGCACCCAGCUGUCAGCCAGACCCUCUGGAUCCAGCAUCCCCCAUGGCCUCUGUCUUCUUCCUUAUUAGAUAUUUAUAAAAAGAGAGAUCUAAAUGCGAUGGGCUCCAGGCCAAAUAGGGGGUCACUGGCACAGGCACCCACGAGCACGGCAGAAGCGGGCCACUGUCAGAAGGCGCUGUAUAUACAUAUGUAUGUAUGUACUUUUAUCUAUGUAAAAUACAUACACGGAUGAAAAAAGAAUCGAGGCGAAUGUGAAGAAAUGUAAAUGUCAUUUGAUUUCCACUUGGGCCUCUUUUUCUAUACCAAUGCCUAAGUUCAGAAAAAACGUGGACUAUCCUACGGAACCCUGCCUCGGCAGGGGUCCCCUACAAGUAUGCCGGCUCUUUGUAUCUGCAUGCAAUUUGAUCUCUCUUCUAGAUCCUCCCAAGGUCUGCAGGCUUAUCCAGCACUCCUGCCUCCUCUCUCCUUGUGGGUGGUCCUCAUGCCCCAAACCCCUUAGAGAAACACAGACUUGCCAGCUGGUGAACGAAACGAAGGUGCCGGUUCUGGAGGCUCCCUUCGGGUGGCCCAGAUGCCGGACCCUCCAAGCCUUCCUGGGAGCUUCGGACGGGAGGCUGUGCCUCUGAGCUCUUCCUGCUCCAAAGGCCCGGAUGCGCCUGCCUCGUCUGCCUGCCCUAGAGCCCAGCCGGCCUUUCUCUGCCUUUCCCCACUCCCCACCGCCCGACUCCCACCUCGCACCUCCCCCCCCCCAACCCUGCACCCACCCCACAAACAGCUCUGCUGGAUGAAACUUCCCGCCGGCAAAGAGGAGCCUAGAGAAGUAACUAAGACAUCUGUUUCUGGAAAUGGCCCAUCAGGUCACUGAAACCAUACCCCCCCCAAAAAAGUUAUUCUUUUUUAAAUUAAAAAACAGAUGGGAUAUUAUAAGAGAAAGACUCUUUUUUAAAGGCUUCAAAGAGAUGACAAGCUAGUGAGGAAUUGACGAGCAGAGUCGCAGAGAAGAAAAUCCAGAACGGAAAACCCAGCUCUCAAAUCUGCUCUUGCCUCGAGGGCACUGGGAUCCAGAUGAAUCUACUUAGAAACUAAGCUGUGCUUCCGAUGGGCUCGUGGGCAAAAGUCACCGCCCAGCGCCCACCACAGUCUGGGGCCCUACUGAGCACCCCCCUUCGCCAACCACCCCCCCGAAGGCGUACACCCCCAGAGCAAAGGAAAACCAGAACUGAGCCAGCCCUCCGUGGGCCUGUGGCUUCGCUCCGCGCCCUCUGGUUGACUCAGGGAGCCCCAGGCCUCGAGCCUGCAUGAUGGUGGCCCCGGCUCUCGUACUGCCGGCAAGCAUCUGUCAGAAAAGCAGGGAAAGCCUUCUCUGGAAGAAGGUUAACGUCACCCUAGGCCUCAAAUCGUUCCUACGCAGGAAGAGCCAUCCUUGAAAUCCGGGAACUCCUGGCAGGCCACCUCCCUGAGAAGGACACGGAGGUCACCUCACAAGGACACUGGAGUGCCCGCCCCACGGGGCAGAAACAUACCUGACCGCUCCCCGUGCUGUCACGAGCCCUCACUGCGCCCUUUUCUGGGAUGAAGCUGGACCCAGUUGCAGGUUCUCUGUGACCUCAGAGCUGUGUGCAUGAAGGAGGCCCCUUCUCCAUAAGAGAAAUGCAAAAACUUAGAAAACUGAAACCACUAAAACCCAUCACCAUCUUUUCCCCCAGUGUUCUUUGCAAGGAGCCAGGAGGGUUUCUUGGGAAGCAGGUGGCCCUGCCGGGGGAGGGUGUCUAACACCGGGAAAAGGGCUCGGCCUCUUUGAGAGGAAAGUACCCCUCUUCGAUGGGCUCAGGACACAUCCCACCCCUUGGCCAUUUCUCCUGAGGCUCACUCCCAGGCCUCCCUUGUCCCAUCCCCAUCCCUUCCUGCCCCUUCGGAUCCAGUUGAGGGCCCACCACCGCUCCCACCCCUCAGAACUCUCCCAACAAUGGGGGACUUUCAUCCGCUUGAUGUCUGACUUCGCUUAGUACGAAUUCCACAGACACCAAAGCCAAGACUGUUAUGUCCACGAGGGUGUUCACAGUUCCCAGAACACUGCCUAGCACAGAGGAGGGCUCAGCCGUUUGGUUUUUUGUUGUUGUUGUUUUGGGGGGGGGGGUUAAUUUUUUCCACAAGCAAAUGAAUGAAAUCACAGCAUUUCCUGUGAAGCCCAAAGACUGAACAGCCGGCUACAGGCCUUCCCCCGGCCUUUGCUUCAGUGACGGACUUCCUCCUCCUCCAGGAACACUGGGAGCCCUUCUCCUUAUCUCCCUUCAUUUUCCUCUUCUUUUGUCUCCUCCUUUUGUACGAGACUUUUCAGGCGCCUGUGUCCUCCGGCGCUUUUAGAGUAGGCUCUUCUAGGACAGCGCUGCUCGACUCUUUUCCAUUCUAAAAACACUCCCAAAUUCAUUUACUGGCAACGUCCCUAUACUACCGUCAUUGUCGCUAUCAAAAGUGGUCACUGCCUCAGUGGUCCCAGUGGGAGACCCCGUACUGAGCACAAAGAGAAUUAACAGUCUGUGUCUGCCUGGAAGCUGGAGGGAGCCUCACGGGGAAGGUGGGGCCAGUGAGUGUUCUCUGAUGAUGUCACAGAUACAUCAACAAGUGCCUGGGGAGGAAAGAGGGGGGAGGAGGGCAGGAAUAGCUGUGACACCUCCCUAGAGAAGUAAUGAUAUGGGCGGGGGGAGGGGCAUGUGGGAAAGGGUUUGAUCAGUCCUUGUGGUAGAAGGUGAGGGCCCCAGAGCCUGAGGGCACAGGGAACAGGGUGAACCCACUACUGCACGGGACAAGCAGGGGGAUUUGGGAUUUUUUGGCUGGGGGGUGUGGGGGGGUGAUGGGAUGGGAGGAGUAAGCAGGGCGAGGCAAGAGGGCAAGUAAAAAGAGUGUCGUUGGCAAGAGUAGGAGGCUGGACGCCGCUGGCCUGGAGCCAAGGGAACAUUCCAGUGGCAGGGAUGGGGGACAGAAAGAACGCUUACAGGCAGGAACGUCCAAGGCACCCUUGUAAAAGUGUGUGCAUGUGUUUGCGGUGCACAAGGCAAGGCCUCUCAGGAACAUGCCCACGUCCUCCAGAAAACCCAAACGCUGCCUCCACGUCUCUUAUGUGAUAGAGUUUUGAUUGCACCUGACACCCAGGGUGAUGUGGCGAGGGGAGCGCAGAUGUACAGAAGGCAAAAAUCAGGAGGCGAAGACGACCCCAUGGUCACAGGCCCCCAGGCCUCCAAAGAAAGCCCACGACGGCGGGAUUGUGCCUGCCUGAGCUCCUUAGAUCUUAAAUCUCACCGGGGCCUGGACACCUCAGAGAAUAAAGCUCUGGGGAGACAGGGCCGUGGGUUGGUAGGCCACGGCACCACGUAAAAGUGGGGCUGGAACUGGACCUUGACUGGGGGGCGGGGCGGUGCAGGUGACAUGGCGCGGAACCGCUGAGGACACAGCUGCACACGGGCACUGACGAAAGGGCUGUUCAGGGACAGGCAGGGGGCGGGGGCAAGGGGGGUCACGGUAGAAGACGGAGCAGCCUUCGGAGAGACUCCUAAGCUAAGUUAAAGAGUUUGGACUUUUAAUCUGUUGGCAAUGGGGAGGCAGUGAAGCUUUAUUGACCACAGAAGCACUUGGGUCAGAGAGUGCUUGAGACCACCCCCCCAAGGGUGGUGUUUGGGCUUCAGCCCCCCAGGUUCUGCCCCAGGGUCUCUCGGAGAGCCGGAGAGCCGCUAGGAGACUCCACAGGAGCUCAGACUGUGGGAAGGAGGGCCUGGAGGGGAGGAGGGCCACCAAGGCCAACAAUGGCAGGGGAGGUGAGGAAGUGACGAGAAAGCUGGCUGGAGGCAGGGAGGGAAGAGGAGGGGAGGAGGGCAGACAUUGAAUCAAAGAUGAUGCGGACGACCUUGAUGCUGGGGAGAGGUCUGGAACCCCGGGGGACCCUGGAGAGAUGCAGGUGGGGCUUGGGGAGCACCGGCUGGCAAAUGCUCCAGGUGAGCACACACAGGAGGGAGGGAGGGAGGCAAGGAAACCUUGACUCACACUGCUUUUCUCAAAUGCAGACUUCCAGAACACAUUCUCUGUCUUCUCAAGUGCACAGAGGCUUCAGGCCAUCAUCCUGCCCUAGGAAAGGCAUCUGCGUCUCACUGGACAGAGACAUGCGCUGCCCCAAAAUGCCCACUGGGCACACUCACACACCCAGCCUACAGCACCGGCAGGCGCAAAGGAAGCCCUGAACAUAUCUAUCUGCAGUACCCCAGGGGCAAACGUCUGAAAUUCUCACCACCACCACCCCCCCCACACCAAAACGCUGAAAAUGUUGAAGAUCUCCCAAAGAGACAAGUUUGCCAGCCUCUGGCACGAGCCUCCUGACCCUCUACCUCCACUUGGCAAAGUUCGAACCUGUAACCUUUUAUCUACUGUGACUGAAGUUUUCCGGGCACUUUC